Molecule: ribosomal RNA, 482 nt
Filed under: uncultured bacterium
Lineage: Bacteria
Description: partial 16S ribosomal RNA
Rfam family: Bacterial small subunit ribosomal RNA
Source: RNAcentral
GUUGAACGCUGGCGGAAUGCUUAACACAUGCAAGUCGAACGGUAACACGCCGCGAGGUGCUGACGAGUGAGUAACGGGUGAGUAAUGCGCCGGACAGUGCCCGGCCGCAGGGGAAAACUACUCCUAAGAGUAGCUAAUAUCGCAAUAGGUCUUCGGAUGAAUAUGAGAGCCAGAAACGCUGCGAGAGAUCGUUGCGGCCGAUGACCGAUUAGGUAGUUGGUGGGCUAAAUGAGGACCAGGCCAACGGCCUGCAGCUGGUCUGAGAGGACGACCAGCCACACUGGGAGGGAGACACGGCCCAGAGUGCUACGGGAGGCACCAGUGGGGAAUUUUGGACAAUGGGCGCAAGCCUUAUCCAGCAAUGCCGCGUGCAGGAAGAAGGCCUUCGGGUUGUAAACUGCUUUUGUACGGAACGAAACGGCUCUGGUUAAUACCCGGAGCUAAUGACGGUACCGUAAGAAGAAGCACCGGCUAACUACGUG